GGGGUAGUGCCUUAGUGGUAGAGUUCUCACCUAGCGUGAAUGAGGCACUGGGUUCGAUUCUCAGCACCACA
This 71-nucleotide transfer RNA is filed under the name Marmota monax (woodchuck). RNAcentral's name for it is "tRNA.Ala". Lineage: Eukaryota; Metazoa; Chordata; Mammalia; Rodentia; Sciuridae. The record is from RNAcentral.